GGGCGUAAGGGCUCGCAGGCGGUUUCUUAAGUCUGAUGUGAAAGCCCCCGGCUCAACCGGGGAGGGUCAUUGGAAACUGGGAAACUUGAGUGCAGAAGAGGAGAGUGGAAUUCCACGUGUAGCGGUGAAAUGCGUAGAGAUGUGGAGGAACACCAGUGGCGAAGGCGACUCUCUGGUCUGUAACUGACGCUGAGGAGCGAAAGCGUGGGGAGCGAACAGGAUUAGAUACCCUGGUAGUCCACGCCGUAAACGAUGAGUGCUAAGUGUUAGGGGGUUUCCGCCCCUUACUGCUGCAGCUAACGCAUUAAGCACUCCGCCUGGGGAGUACGGUCGCGAGACUGAAACUCCAAGGAAUUGACGGGGGCCCGCACAACCGGUGGAUCUUGUGGUUUAAUUCAAAGCAUCGCAAAGAACCUUACUGCGUCUUGACAUCCUCUGACAACCCUACAGAUACGGCUUUCCCGUCGGGGACAGAGUGACAAGUGGUGCAUGCUUGU
Molecule: ribosomal RNA, 497 nt
Filed under: Bacillus pumilus
Lineage: Bacteria; Bacillati; Bacillota; Bacilli; Caryophanales; Bacillaceae
Description: bacterial SSU rRNA
Rfam family: Bacterial small subunit ribosomal RNA
Source: RNAcentral